Molecule: ribosomal RNA, 388 nt
Filed under: uncultured bacterium
Lineage: Bacteria
Description: bacterial SSU rRNA
Rfam family: Bacterial small subunit ribosomal RNA
Source: RNAcentral
AACGAACGCUGGCGGCAGGCCUAACACAUGCAAGUCGAACGCCGUAGCAAUACGGAGUGGCAGACGGGUGAGUAACGCGUGGGAACAUACCCCUCGGUUCGGAAUAACUCAGGGAAACUUGAGCUAAUACCGGAUACGUCCGAGGUUUUAAUCGGCCUUGGAGAAAGGUUUAUCGCCGGAGGAUUGGCCCGCGUCUGAUUAGCUUGUUGGUGAGGUAAUGGCUCACCAAGGCGACGAUCAGUAGCUGGUCUGAGAGGAUGAUCAGCCACAUUGGGACUGAGACACGGCCCAAACUCCUACGGGAGGCAGCAGUGGGGAAUAUUGGACAAUGGGCGAAAGCCUGAUCCAGCCAUGCCGCGUGAGUGAUGAAGGCCUUAGGGUUGUAAAG